Molecule: small nucleolar RNA, 106 nt
Organism: Lathyrus oleraceus (garden pea)
Lineage: Eukaryota; Viridiplantae; Streptophyta; Magnoliopsida; Fabales; Fabaceae
Source: RefSeq, a predicted model, not a curated record
AACCCAUGAUGCAGUAAGUCUCUCAUCAACUCCUUGUAUCACUCUCAUGCUUCGAAUAACGAUUCACUAUCCAUCUUUCAAAAACAGGUAAUUUGGUUCCUUAACU